RNAcentral lists this ribosomal RNA (615 nucleotides) under Anabaena sp. 183. RNAcentral's name for it is "bacterial SSU rRNA". It matches the Rfam family "Bacterial small subunit ribosomal RNA", at positions 36 to 698 of the family's 1533-position model. Lineage: Bacteria; Bacillati; Cyanobacteriota; Cyanophyceae; Nostocales; Nostocaceae. The record is from RNAcentral.
CUUCCGGGAUGCUUACACAUGCAGUCGACGGUCUCUUCGGAGAUAGUGGCGGACGGGUGAGUAACGCGUGAGAAUCUAGCUUCAGGUCGGGGACAACCACUGGAAACGGUGGCUAAUACCGGAUGUGCCGAAAGGUGAAAGAUUUAUUGCCUGAAGAUGAGCUCGCGUCUGAUUAGCUAGUUGGUGUGGUAAGAGCGCACCAAGGCGACGAUCAGUAGCUGGUCUGAGAGGAUGAUCAGCCACACUGGGACUGAGACACGGCCCAGACUCCUACGGGAGGCAGCAGUGGGGAAUUUUCCGCAAUGGGCGAAAGCCUGACGGAGCAAUACCGCGUGAGGGAGGAAGGCUCUUGGGUUGUAAACCUCUUUUCUCAGGGAAUAAAAAAAUGAAGGUACCUGAGGAAUAAGCAUCGGCUAACUCCGUGCCAGCAGCCGCGGUAAUACGGAGGAUGCAAGCGUUAUCCGGAAUGAUUGGGCGUAAAGCGUCCGCAGGUGGCACUGUAAGUCUGCUGUUAAAGAGCAAGGCUCAACCUUGUAAAGGCAGUGGAAACUACAGAGCUAGAGUACGUUCGGGGCAGAGGGAAUUCCUGGUGUAGCGGUGAAAUGCGUAGAAAUA